RNAcentral lists this ribosomal RNA (496 nucleotides) under uncultured bacterium. RNAcentral's name for it is "partial 16S ribosomal RNA". It matches the Rfam family "Bacterial small subunit ribosomal RNA", at positions 29 to 523 of the family's 1533-position model. The record is from RNAcentral.
AUUGAACGCUGGCGGUAUGCCUUACACAUGCAAGUCGAACGGUAGAGGGGAAACCCUUGAGAGUGGCGAACGGGUGAGUAAUACAUCGGAACGUGCCCAGUCGUGGGGGAUAACGUAGCGAAAGCUACGCUAAUACCGCAUACGACCCGAGGGUGAAAGCGGGGGACUCGCAAGGGCCUCGCGCGAUUGGAGCGGCCGAUGGCAGAUUAGGUAGUUGGUGGGGUAAAGGCCCACCAAGCCUGCGGUCUGUAGCUGGUCUGAGAGGACGACCAGCCACACUGGGACUGAGACACGGCCCAGACUCCUACGGGAGGCAGCAGUGGGGAAUUUUGGACAAUGGGCGAAGGCCUGAUCCAGCCAUACCGCGUGCGGGAAGAAGGCCUUCGGGUUGUAAACCGCUUUUGUCAGGGAAGAAAUCUUCUGGGUUAAUACCUCGGGAGGAUGACGGUACCUGAAGAAUAAGCACCGGCUAACUACGUGCCAGCCGCCGCCGUAA